AGUCGAGCGCCCUGCUUGCAGGGAGCGGCAGACGGGUGAGUAACGCGCGCCAACGUGCCUAUUGGUUCGGAAUAGCCCUGGGAAACUGGGUGUAAUACCGAAUGUGCCCUUCGGGGGAAAGAUUUAUCGCCAAUAGAUCGGCCCGCGUUAGAUUAGCUAGUUGGUGGGGUAAAAGCCUACCAAGGCUACGAUCUAUAGCUGGUCUGAGAGGAUGAUCAGCCACACUGGGACUGAGACACGGCCCAUACUCCUACGGGAGGCAGCAGUGAGGAAUCUUGGACAAUGGGCGAAAGCCUGAUCCAGCCAUGCCGCGUGAAUGAUGAAGGCCUUAGGGUUGUAAAAUUCUUUCAGCAGGGAAGAUAAUGACGGUACCUGCAGAAAAAGCCCCGGUUAACUCCGUGCCAGCAGCCGCGGAAAUACGGAGGGGGCUAGCGUUGUUUCGAAAUUACUGGGCGUAAAGCCUUCGUAGGCGGAUUGGUCAGUCAAAGGUGAAAGCCCCGGGCUCAACCUUGGAAAUUGCCUUUGAUCCUGCCCGUCUUGGAUUUCGGGGAGAGGGUGAGCGAAAUUUCCAAGUGGUAGAGGGUGAAUUUCGUAAUAUAUUUCGGAGGAACACCCAAAAGGCGAAGGCGG
RNAcentral lists this ribosomal RNA (630 nucleotides) under uncultured Alphaproteobacteria bacterium. RNAcentral's name for it is "bacterial SSU rRNA". It matches the Rfam family "Bacterial small subunit ribosomal RNA", at positions 60 to 724 of the family's 1533-position model. The record is from RNAcentral. Lineage: Bacteria; Pseudomonadati; Pseudomonadota; Alphaproteobacteria.